UAAGACCUGUAAAACUCUAAUCUACAUACUCUGACUGCAACUCAGAUGCUUUAAUUAAGCUAAGACCUU
Molecule: transfer RNA, 69 nt
Filed under: Anguis graeca (Greek slow worm)
Lineage: Eukaryota; Metazoa; Chordata; Lepidosauria; Squamata; Anguidae
Description: tRNA-Ala
Source: RNAcentral